CUCCAACCCCUGUGACAUACCACUUGUUGCCUCGGCGGAUCAGCCCGCUCCCGGUAAAACGGGACGGCCCGCCAGAGGACCCCUAAACUCUGUUUCUAUAUGUAGCUUCUGAGUAAAACCAUAAAUAAAUCAAAACUUUCAACAACGGAUCUCUUGGUUCUGGCAUCGAUGAAGAACGCAGCAAAAUGCGAUAAGUAAUGUGAAUUGCAGAAUUCAGUGAAUCAUCGAAUCUUUGAACGCACAUUGCGCCCGCCAGUAUUCUGGCGGGCAUGCCUGUUCGAGCGUCAUUUCAACCCUCAAGCACAGCUUGGUGUUGGGACUCGCGUUAAUUCGCGUUCCUCAAAUUGAUUGGCGGUCACGUCGAGCUUCCAUAGCGUAGUAGUAAAACCCUCGUUACUGGUAAUCGUCGCGGCCACGCCGUUAAACCCCAACUUCUGAAUGUUGACCUCGGAUCAGGUAGGAAUACCCGCUGAACUUAAGCAUAU
Molecule: ribosomal RNA, 485 nt
Filed under: Fusarium oxysporum
Lineage: Eukaryota; Fungi; Ascomycota; Sordariomycetes; Hypocreales; Nectriaceae
Description: eukaryotic LSU rRNA
Rfam family: 5.8S ribosomal RNA (bases 134-287)
Source: RNAcentral